RNAcentral lists this ribosomal RNA (254 nucleotides) under uncultured bacterium. RNAcentral describes it as "partial 16S ribosomal RNA". It matches the Rfam family "Bacterial small subunit ribosomal RNA", at positions 524 to 776 of the family's 1533-position model. The record is from RNAcentral.
UACAGAGGUCCCGAGCGUUGUUCGGAUUUACUGGGCGUAAAGGGCGCGUAGGCGGUCUUGCAAGUCCCGUGUGAAAUCCCUCGGCUCAACUGAGGAACUGCACGGGAAACUGCUUGGCUUGAGUUCGGGAGAGGGAAGCGGAAUUCCGGGUGUAGCGGUGAAAUGACGUAGAUAUCGAGAGGAACACCUGCGGCGAAGGCGGGUUGCUGGGCUGAUACUGACGCUGAGGCGCGAAAGCUAGGGGAGCGAACGGG